UCUACGGGAGGCAGCAGUGGGGAAUAUUGGGCAAUGGGCGAAAGCCUGACCCAGCAACGCCGCGUGAAGGAAGAAGGUUUUCGGAUUGUAAACUUCUUUUAUGAGGGACGAAGGACGUGACGGUACCUCAUGAAUAAGCCACGGCUAACUACGUGCCAGCAGCCGCGGUAAUA
This 173-nucleotide ribosomal RNA is filed under the name uncultured bacterium. RNAcentral's name for it is "partial 16S ribosomal RNA". It matches the Rfam family "Bacterial small subunit ribosomal RNA", at positions 338 to 525 of the family's 1533-position model. The record is from RNAcentral.